UAAAUUUUUCUAAAUUUUAUGCAAAGUUCAUCUGCUAUUCUCCUUUACGAUUCUCCAAUAUAUUUUUUAAUCAAUGUAUUAUAUAUAUUGGCGACUAGUUUCUUUUAAAAGUAACGUUACUCUUUGUUGCUUCAUUCAGGUGCUGAUUUCUGACUGGAUUUGUGUAAUCAAGAAUGGAAUUUCUUCUUUUUUCCUGCCCAUAAAACUGCUGAUGUUUGUGGAAUCUCUAAGAAAGCAAAACCUGACUAUUGCUCCCCGGAUGCCUGAAUUUCACAGCAUGUAAUGAAAGAGCAGCCUGACUAUUGCUCCCCGGAUGCCUGAAUUUCACAGCAUGUAAUGAAAGAGCAGCCUGACUAUUGCUCCCCGGAUGCCUGAAUUUCACAGCAUGUAAUGAAAGAGCA
Molecule: non-coding RNA, 401 nt
Organism: Parasteatoda tepidariorum (common house spider)
Lineage: Eukaryota; Metazoa; Arthropoda; Arachnida; Araneae; Theridiidae
Source: RefSeq, a predicted model, not a curated record